RNAcentral lists this ribosomal RNA (440 nucleotides) under uncultured bacterium. Its description in RNAcentral is "partial 16S ribosomal RNA". It matches the Rfam family "Bacterial small subunit ribosomal RNA", at positions 339 to 795 of the family's 1533-position model. The record is from RNAcentral.
CUACGGGCUGCUGCAGUGGAGAAUAUUGCACAAUGGAGGAAACUCUGAUGCAGCAACGCCGCGUGGAGGAUGACACUUUUCGGAGCGUAAACUCCUUUUAUAUAGGAAGAAGAUGACGGUACUAUAUGAAUAAGCGCCGGCUAACUCCGUGUCCAGCAGCCGCGGUAAUACGGAGGGCGCAAGCGUUACUCGGAAUCACUGGGCGUAAAGAGCGUGUAGGCGGAUUAAAAAGUCAGAAGUGAAAUCCUAUAGCUUAACUAUAGAACUGCUUCUGAAACUCUUAAUCUAGAAUAUGGGAGAGGUAGAUGGAAUUUCUGGUGUAGGGGUAAAAUCCGUAGAGAUCAGAAGGAAUACCGAUUGCGAAGGCGAUCUACUAGAACAUUAUUGACGCUGAUACGCGAAAGCGUGGGGAGCAAACAGGAUUAGAUACCCCGGUAGUC